This 298-nucleotide long non-coding RNA is filed under the name Prunus persica (peach). RNAcentral describes it as "long non-coding RNA (PPER_LNC008508)". The record is from RNAcentral. Lineage: Eukaryota; Viridiplantae; Streptophyta; Magnoliopsida; Rosales; Rosaceae.
GCUUCAUCAUAGUUUGCAGACUCAACAUUUCUGUGGUACAGGAUGGGACUAAUCUUGAAACGGGACACAUAGUCGUCCAAGUAUUGGAUAAACUGAUUCUUGGGCACGUAGGUGGGACAAGAAGGUGGAAAUGGCAUGUGGGGAAGCUCACAGAACUGCUUCUGAAGGUGGAGGUGGAGACGGUCAUAUGAAUACUUUUUCCACAUGGAAGCAAAACAGUCCUCUCUUUCCAAGACUAUGUAUGGGAUUGCAAGCCGGCUUAGACAUCCGGCCAUGGCGAGGCCGGACGGGCCAGCCC